Molecule: long non-coding RNA, 234 nt
Filed under: Elaeis guineensis (African oil palm)
Lineage: Eukaryota; Viridiplantae; Streptophyta; Magnoliopsida; Arecales; Arecaceae
Description: long non-coding RNA (EGUI_LNC030309)
Source: RNAcentral
CAUAAUAUAUUAAUGACUAGACUCUUAAAUUUUUACUAAUAUUAAUUUUAAAUUAACUUCCAACGGAUAUCAUGGAGGAUCACAAAUUAAUAUACUGUAUCACGAUCAGAAUAGCAUUUAGCUGUGAAAACCACAAAUAAUUAACAUACAGUAAUAAUAAAAUAACAGUAUUAUUUUCAUUGUUUCACCAGUUGCACAAAUUAAAAAAGUAUAUUAUUUUAAUCAUUCCGCGCG